CAGAAAAUAAACAGAAACCAACUUACAAAAGUGGAGAAAAUGACAGAAACUCAACCAAGAAACUGAACGGAAUUGCAAAGGGUAGCAAGCUGCAGCCUUUUUCUCCUUUUCUUUUUUAUUCAUCUGAUAUUCUCCUUAAUUUCUUCAAUGUUUUCUGAAAUAAACCAAAUAUAUACAAAUUCUCUCUGAUAUUAUGAGGCUGCUCUCAAAGACAUUCCGAUCCAUAAAGCCUUGGAGCUCGAAAAAAUCAAAAUCCUCACCGUCCUCGUCUGACCCAUCAACACCAUCAUCGUCAAUACCCAUAUCGAGAAUAUCAAAAGCGAAAACGAGCUCAAAUUCAAGAUCAAGAUCUUGGUGUGUGUAUCUUAUCCUUUCCACCAACGCCCCCAUCAAAACCUAUGUUGGUGUCACCAACAAUUUCUCUCGCCGGUGCGUUUUACUUCUUUGAUUCAGUUCUCAUUUCUUUAAAUUCAAUGAAAAUGCUGAAAUGGGUUAUAUUUCAUAUGAUUUUAUAGCUCUUAUAAAUGGUUUAAUUGUCUUCAUGCCUUGAAUGUUGUGGAAAUGAUAUUGUAGUCCUGUCUAGUAUUGGAAAUUUAAGAACUUGAUGAUAUAUUUAUCUGUUUUUAUGGAUCAAUGAAUCCGCCAAUAGAAUGUGCAUUACGCCUGUUCAAUUUGUGUGAUAGAAAUGCAAAUUUUCUGUAUACUUUUGGGAGAAUGGAGAAGAGGACUGCUUGAAUGACUUGUUUUGUUAUUUGAUUUUCUCUUGCCAAUUUAGUGAUCUAGAACAAACUCAGUUUAUGGACACAAAAUUGGGGAUCAUAAAUUAUAUGGCUUGGAUUAAAAAAAAAAAAAUCAGAAGUUAAUGAAGAGGGUUCUAAAAUGAUCAGUGAAAUUUUAAGUAUGGCUAUGAUAUUCUAACAUUCUAUGGAUGUUGUGAAAGAGGAGAGGUCGCUUUGCCUAGUUACUUUGAAUCUUUUUAGGGAUUGUAGGCAAUAUUAACAUGGUCAUCAUUAACAAAGGUCAUGGGAGAAUUCCUAGGCUGGCAACCAAGAGAUUUAGGAUUAUGACUUUACUUGAGAGCAGUUCAAUUAUGUAAAAAGGGCAGUUAGAAUUCCCAGCACCCAAAUUUGAUGGGAUUAUAACUAGGUAAUGGCCCACGCACCAUUUUUUAGUGGAAUGGCUGGAGUCUUGGUUUGUUAUCAACAGGUUACAAGGCCUAAUAAUUGUUGCUUCAUGUGAAAAAUACUGCCUCCAACUGCACAACACCAUACUGAUAGAAUCAGGAAAUAGAAUUUAUAGAAAUGAGAAGAAACAAGAAGUGAUAAGAAACCAGAGAGAGGAGGAAAAAAAAGAGAGAAUUGCAGAAGAAAUGAGAAGGAUAAAUCUUAUUCAUCAAUCAUCAAGAAUCUAGAAUGAAUUAAAAUGCUGAGAUUGCAGCUAUUGUAGUUCCUGAACUAACUAUACAUGCGUACAGUUCUGACUAGCUCGCUUUCUCUAUUCCCACGCCUGCUAUAACAAACUCCAACAGUUCAACGGUCUGGUCACAAUAAUUACUUCUUGGCAUGCUUGACACACUCGAGAUAACACGCACCGCUUCUUUUAUUGAUACUCUUGCCUUAUUCAUUCUUAUGACAUUGUAUCGCAUACUUCUGAAACUUUUUGAUUACUAGGUUGUGGUUUUUAUUCCUAGGUCAGGAGAACCUUGGUAUCCUUCAUAAGUCAGCUGGUAGCACAAAUUAUGGAAAUAAUUGUAUUUUUUUUGAAACUGGCACUUCUCUUGCAGUUUAAAACAACAUAAUGGCGAACUUAAAGGUGGUGCAAAAGCAUCUCGUGCAGGAAGGCCAUGGAUUUUUGCAUGCAUAAUUCGAGGUUUUAAUGACCAAAGUGAAGCUUGUGAGUUCGAAUCAAAAUGGAAAAGUCUGUCAAGAAAAAUGCCUCGGAAAGGAAAGAGUGAUGACACUGUGAAGCAGAGUGUUGAUGGGUCGCAUGCACUAUUGCAACACAGGCAGACAGCUCUAGGUAGAGUUAAAGGCUCAUUUGAUUGCAGUCACUUAGAGAUUGAUUGGAAAUUGAAUCCUUUCUAGUUUGAAAUGUAAAAUGGUGCUGGCCAUAUUUUUCAAACUGUAGUUUAUAGUCUAUUCAAUAUUUAUGGUAGCCAAAAUAAUGUGUAAGGUGUGAAUAAUGUGAUUUUUCACUUAUAACCAAAUCAGAGAUGAUUGUUAUAUUAGUUAAAAAACAAAAACAGAAAAAAGAAUCAUUGUCCGCUUGCAAAUUGUAGUGUUGGAUAGCAAAGGGCUUAUGCAUAUGUGAGGGCCGGUGAAAUGUACUAUUUCUGUUGUCUUAAUGAAUGAGAAGUGUGUAUAUUUGGAAUGCAUGAUAACUCUUCCUUCGUUUGUGUUCACUUUCUCAUUUGUUAUUUUUUCAUGUUCACUCUUAGCUUUAAUAUAUAUGAGAAUUACAUCAGUGAUAUGUUUUAGUAGAUUGUAACAAGUUACAGUUAGCCAAUGUCUAAUGCUCUUCUUAUCUGCAAAUCAAGUAUUUCCAGGGGUGGAAGUACAAAAU
Molecule: unclassified non-coding RNA, 2562 nt
Filed under: Hevea brasiliensis (rubber tree)
Lineage: Eukaryota; Viridiplantae; Streptophyta; Magnoliopsida; Malpighiales; Euphorbiaceae
Source: RNAcentral